RNAcentral lists this ribosomal RNA (264 nucleotides) under uncultured archaeon. RNAcentral describes it as "partial 16S ribosomal RNA". It matches the Rfam family "Archaeal small subunit ribosomal RNA", at positions 718 to 982 of the family's 1478-position model. The record is from RNAcentral.
AGUCACUGACAUUAGAUACCCCGGUAGUCCAGGGUGUAAACGCUGCAGACUUGGUGUUGGAAGUCCUUUGGGGGCAUUCAGUGCCGGAGAGAAGUUGUUAAGUCUGCUACUUGGGGAGUACGUCCGCAAGGAUGAAACUUAAAGGAAUUGGCGGGGGAGCACCGCAACGGGAGGAGCGUGCGGUUUAAUUGGAUUCAACACCGUAAACUCACCAGGGAAGACUGUUACAUGAAAGCCGAGAUGAAGACUCUGCUAGAUUUUCAG